GCCUACGGGACGCAGCAGUGAGGAAUAUUGGUCAAUGGGAGAGAUCCUGAACCAGCCAAGCCGCGUGAGGGAAGACGGCCCUAUGGGUUGUAAACCUCUUUUGUCGGAGAACAAAACCCGGGACGAGUCCCGGACUGCGUGUAUCCGAAGAAAAAGCAUCGGCUAACUCCGUGCCAGCAGCCGCGGUAAUACGGAGGAUGCGAGCGUUAUCCGGAUUUAUUGGGUUUAAAGGGUGCGUAGGCGGUCUGUUAAGUCAGCGGUGAAAUUGCGGGGCUCAACCACGUCGAGCCGUUGAAACUGGCAGA
RNAcentral lists this ribosomal RNA (305 nucleotides) under uncultured bacterium. Its description in RNAcentral is "bacterial SSU rRNA". It matches the Rfam family "Bacterial small subunit ribosomal RNA", at positions 337 to 640 of the family's 1533-position model. The record is from RNAcentral.